RNAcentral lists this non-coding RNA (45 nucleotides) under Schistosoma mansoni. Lineage: Eukaryota; Metazoa; Platyhelminthes; Trematoda; Strigeidida; Schistosomatidae. The record is from RNAcentral.
AUCCAGCUGACAAGUCCUAAAUAGGACGAAGCGCUUGUCCUGGAU